CAGCCGCCGCGGUAAAACGAAGGGGGCUAGCGUUGUUCGGAUUUACUGGGCGUAAAGGGUGCGUAGGCGGAUUGUUAAGUCAGGGGUGAAAUCCCGAGGCUCAACCUCGGAACUGCCUUUGAUACUGGCGACCUUGAGUCCGGGAGAGGUGAGUGGAACUGCGAGUGUAGAGGUGAAAUUCGUAGAUAUUCGCAAGAACACCGGUGGCGAAGGCGGCUCACUGGUCCGGAACUGACGCUGAGGCACGACAGCGUGGGGAGCAAACAGGAUUAGAUACCCCUGUAGUCCCUGUCUCUUAUCA
This 301-nucleotide ribosomal RNA is filed under the name uncultured bacterium. RNAcentral describes it as "partial 16S ribosomal RNA". It matches the Rfam family "Bacterial small subunit ribosomal RNA", at positions 509 to 809 of the family's 1533-position model. The record is from RNAcentral.